RNAcentral lists this ribosomal RNA (460 nucleotides) under uncultured bacterium. Its description in RNAcentral is "partial 16S ribosomal RNA". It matches the Rfam family "Bacterial small subunit ribosomal RNA", at positions 338 to 795 of the family's 1533-position model. The record is from RNAcentral.
CCUACGGGAGGCAGCAGUGAGGAAUAUUGGUCAAUGGACGAGAGUCUGAACCAGCCAAGUAGCGUGAAGGAUGAAUGCCCUAUGGGUUGUAAACUUCUUUUAUAUGGGAAUAAAAUCUUCCACGUGUGGGAUUUUGUAUGUACCAUAUGAAUAAGGAUAGGCUAACUCCGUGCCAGCAGCCGCGGUAAUACGGAGGAUCCGAGCGUUAUCCGGAUGUAUUGGGUUUAAAGGGAGCGUAGGUGGUUUGUUAAGUCAGUUGUGAAAGUUUGCGGCUCAACCGUAAAAUUGCAGUUGAAACUGGCAGUCUUGAGUACAGUAGAGGAGAGCGGAAUUCGUGGUGUAGCGGUGAAAUGCUUAGAUAUCACGAAGAACUCCGAUUGCGAAGGCAGUUCACUGGACUGCAACUGACACUGAGGCGCGAAAGUGUGGGUAUCAAACAGGAUUAGAUACCCUGGUAGUC